RNAcentral lists this ribosomal RNA (497 nucleotides) under uncultured bacterium. Its description in RNAcentral is "partial 16S ribosomal RNA". It matches the Rfam family "Bacterial small subunit ribosomal RNA", at positions 28 to 507 of the family's 1533-position model. The record is from RNAcentral.
GAUGAACGCUGGCGGCGUGCCUAAUACAUGCAAGUCGAGCGAACGGACGAGAAGCUUGCUUUUCUGAUGUUAGCGGCGGACGGGUGAGUAACACGUGGAUAACCUACCUAUAAGACUGGGAUAACUUCGGGAAACCGGAGCUAAUACCGGAUAAUAUUUUGAACCGCAUGGUUCAAAAGUGAAAGACGGUCUUGCUGUCACCUAUAGAUGGAUCCGCGCUGCAUUAGCUAGUUGGUAAGGUAACGGCUUACCAAGGCAACGAUGCAUAGCCGACCUGAGAGGGUGAUCGGCCACACUGGAACUGAGACACGGUCCAGACUCCUACGGGAGGCAGCAGUAGGGAAUCUUCCGCAAUGGGCGAAAGCCUGACGGAGCAACGCCGCGUGAGUGAUGAAGGUCUUCGGAUCGUAAAACUCUGUUAUUAGGGAAUAACAUAUGUGUAAGUAACUGUGCACAUCUUGACGGUACCUAAUCAGAAAGCCACGGCUAACUACGUG